AGGGACUAGGUUAAAAAAACUUUAAGUUUCCAAAACUUGAGAUGGGGAGAUGUUCUUCGUUCCUG
Molecule: transfer RNA, 65 nt
Filed under: Amusium pleuronectes
Lineage: Eukaryota; Metazoa; Mollusca; Bivalvia; Pectinida; Pectinidae
Description: tRNA-Trp
Source: RNAcentral